RNAcentral lists this ribosomal RNA (253 nucleotides) under uncultured bacterium. Its description in RNAcentral is "partial 16S ribosomal RNA". It matches the Rfam family "Bacterial small subunit ribosomal RNA", at positions 524 to 776 of the family's 1533-position model. The record is from RNAcentral. RNAcentral also lists the same sequence under 2 other names.
UACAGAGGGUGCGAGCGUUAAUCGGAAUUACUGGGCGUAAAGCGCGCGUAGGCGGCUUUUCAAGUCGAUUGUGAAAUCCCCGGGCUUAACCUGGGAACUGCAGUCGAGACUGUCUAGCUAGAGUAUGGGAGAGGGAAGUGGAAUUUCAGGUGUAGCGGUGAAAUGCGUAGAUAUCUGAAGGAACAUCAGUGGCGAAAGCGACUUCCUGGACCAAUACUGACGCUCAUGUGCGAAAGCGUGGGGAGCAAACAGG